AUGAAAACCUCGUGCUCAACACGAGGAAAUCGGACUAGACUGUCAAGAUAGAGGCCAUCAGAGGGGAAUGGAAUUCCCCGAGUAACGGUAAAAUGCGCAGAAAUCGGGAGGACACACGAUGGCGAAGGCAGCUCCACUGGGAUGCACAUGAACCUAAGAGCCGAAAAGCUAGGGGAGCCAACACGGAUUAGAGACCCUGGUAGUCCUACCUGUAAACCCAUGGGUGAUAAGUGUGGGACGUAGAAGUUCCGGACCGGAGCAAGACGCGAUAACCACCACUGCCUGGGAAUGACGGUACCAAGGCUAAGACUCAAACGAAUGGACGGGGCCCCGCACAACAAACGGAGCGUAUGAUUCGAUUAGAUGCUACACGAAGAACAUUACCUGGCUGUGACAUGUACGUGGUACGAAGCCGAAAGCAUAAGGACCCUCCGGGGAGCGUACACAGCAGCUGCAUGACUGUCGUCAGCUCGUCCCGUGAGGAGUCGGGUGAAGUCCCGUAACGAGCGCAACCAUCGCCCUCUAGUUACAAGUGUCUAAGGGGACUGCCGACGGGAAGCACGGAGGAAGGUGGGGAUCACGUCAAAGUCAGCAUGGCCCUUAUGUCCAGGGCGACACAAAAGCUACCAAUGGUCAGUACAAAGGCUAGCGAAGUCGCCGAGACGGAGCGAAUCUCAGCAAACCAUGAUCAGUAGUUCGGAUUCAUGUCUGCAACCCGCCUGCAUGACGAUGUGAGUUGCUAGUAACCGCGCAGUCAGUAAUAGUCCGGUGNAUACAGUACCCGGGGCUUGUACACACCGCCCGUCA
RNAcentral lists this ribosomal RNA (807 nucleotides) under uncultured organism. RNAcentral describes it as "bacterial SSU rRNA". It matches the Rfam family "Bacterial small subunit ribosomal RNA", at positions 594 to 1399 of the family's 1533-position model. The record is from RNAcentral.